RNAcentral lists this long non-coding RNA (465 nucleotides) under Pongo abelii (Sumatran orangutan). RNAcentral's name for it is "lincRNA". Lineage: Eukaryota; Metazoa; Chordata; Mammalia; Primates; Hominidae. The record is from RNAcentral.
UUAGUUUGAGGACUUUAGCUCUGACAGAUUUCAGGAUUCAGUCCAAAAUGCAGAAAACAAUAAAAAGCUCAAAAACAAUGGACAAGACUAGAAUCUAACAACAGGGUCUCAAGCCACCCAGGCUGGAGUCCAGUGGCACAAUUACAGCUCACUGUAGCCUCACCUUCCUAGGAUCAAGCAAUCCUCUUUCUUCAGCCUCCAGAGGAGCUGGGACCACAGAUCCUUUGGCAUUUGAGAGUUGCUUUGUGUAUACAGCCCUUUAACGGAGUAAAUGGCCAGCCAGGAAACCAAAAUAUGGACAAGGAAAAAGAAGCAUCUGUGGAGGAAGUUUUACAAGCGGCCCUCCUCAUCCAUGUUGUUGGCUAUGCCCAUAUGCUACAUGUCUGUGGACCACUAUGUGUGUUUGAGGGUGCCUCAAAAGUGACAGAGGGUGUAGAAAGCUUGUUAGUAAAAUGCUACUAAAAA